Long non-coding RNA from Saccostrea echinata, 549 nucleotides. RefSeq lists it as uncharacterized. NCBI's taxonomy places the organism in Eukaryota, Metazoa, Mollusca, Bivalvia, Ostreida, Ostreidae. The transcript has 3 exons. The record is from RefSeq and is a predicted model, not a curated record.
CCUGGUUAACAGGCUGAGUAGGAAGACCUGGUCUUGAUGGACUUCCUGGUCCUAGGGGAGAACCUGGUCCUGAGGGAUUUCCUGGUAUCCCUGGAGAUUGUCUGGAUGUUACUGGUUCAAGAGGUCCUUCAGGAUUUCCCGGAUAGGAGGAAUCCCUGGAGAGGAUGGGCAUGAUGGAAUCCCAGGAGAAAGAGGUAGAAGAGGUGAGGACUGUGGGGUUUGUCCUGGGGGUGAGCCUGGUUUUAGGGGAGAUCCAGGUGAUCCUGGUUUUGAUGGACUUCCUGGACAACCAGGUCAACCAGGUUUCCCAGGACAACCAGGAGAACAAGGCAUACCUGGAAUAGCUGGUCAAAAGGGCAUACUGGGUUCAGAUGGUUUUCCUGGAGAAGUUGGAAGGGUUGGACCUAAAGGUGAGCCUGGGGAUUUGGAAGUCCCCUCCACUCUAAGAAUGAAGGGGAAGCCUGGCGAGCAGGGACCAAGGGGACCAGUUGGCAGAGCAUGAUCACCAGGAUCUGGUGGCCCCCACAGACCCCCAGGUUUCUCUGGGAU